Molecule: long non-coding RNA, 2598 nt
Organism: Rhincodon typus (whale shark)
Lineage: Eukaryota; Metazoa; Chordata; Chondrichthyes; Orectolobiformes; Rhincodontidae
Exons: 3
Source: RefSeq, a predicted model, not a curated record
UCUGAUUGGCUGCCAGGCAGCUACUUGUCUCCGGGUUCCAUUUUCUGCUACAUCGAGGGGGUGGAGCAGCUGAGGGUAGAGAGUGACCAGGGACGUAGCUCUGUGUGUGGGCUUUGAAUUUAGACAGCGCCGGGCACUGUGGGAGUACCAAGUAGGGUGUGAACUAUACGGAACCGUGUGUGCCGAGCAGACCCAUGUUGUGCUUGGCUGCACCAUCUUCUGUCGGAGUUCUGCUGAUGCAAAUUCCUAGUUGGGGAAAAUCACCAAGAUUCACCAAAAGUGACAAAUUCCCUAUAACCUGGCGUCGAAGUUUCCAGAAAGCUUUGGACGAAAAGAUCGACGAGUUUUGGGAUUUUUCGACGAAGAGGUGAUAGUUUCUUUGGAGAAAAAUGGGAGGUGUCGAAAGAUUAAAUAUCCCAAUAUCCCAACCAAACCAUGGGACUCCAAAGAGGAACCAGCACUUAAACAACAGCAGACAAAGGAACAAGGAUGAUAAUCUCUAUCACGUGAAGACAAUGCACAAGAAAGGCGAGAAGGGACAUGGACGAUAUCCAUUUAUUUCUGAAACAUGUCAGGUUGUGCAGAAAGAGGGAAAGAAUGUUAUGCACUUUACUGCAAACAAUCAGAGUUGGGAGGCAGUUCUGAGCAGCUCAAACACACUGUUUAGGUUGCAGUCUGAUCAAAAUUAUGCUGGAGCCAAGUUCAGUGAGCCACCAUCACCAAGUGUACUACCCAAGCCUCCAAGCCAUUGGGUACAUGUGCCCCUAGAGUCAUCUGAUCACAGUGAAAUGGCCUUUCAGUUGAAGACCAUGCUAAAAGUGCAGGCAUAGACUGUAGACUUAAAAGGAUCACACUGCUGGAAACAAAGUUUCUAAUUCUACUAUAUAAUACAGGAGUUUUGAAUUGUUUUUAAAAGCACUGCCUUUGAUAUCCUUCCGAGCUGGUUGUUUGGUGUAUAUUGGCCCAGUUUUGUGUCCAGCAGUUGUUUACUGGAAAUUUGUUUCCUCUUCCUGUUCUGCCCUUUUCUAUGAAUAGGAAACAAAUUUCAAUUCUAACAUAGUAAUUCCAAUGUUUGAGUGAAGGAUAUUCCUGACUUUAGAUCUCUCAUGAUUUGCUCCUGUCCAAAAAGUGUUGAAUCAGCAAUUAUGUUGGCCAUCUUGCGUCUGCCCAACCACAGUUGGGCAUAUUCAGCAAGAUGUGUAUGUAGCUUCCUGCUGUAGAAAACAUGUUUUAUUACUUUUGUUUUGGAACUCCUGAUAUUAAAUGGGUCCUGUCCUUUCCUUAUAAAGGAUGAUUGUUAUGAUGCAAUACCCCAUGAAAAAUGUUUGCUAAAACAUGAAGUCUCAUCUGCCAGUGGUAGAUAUGUUACCAUAUGUUAGGAGCCUUUGUGUUUUAAUCUCUCUCUUUUGAGGUAAAAGCACUUUGUGUACUGUACAGAAAAGGCAAACACUUAAAUUUGUUCAGAUUAACAAGACCUUUUCAAAUAUUCAUUGUACCCGUCACCACAUUUUAAUGUAAUACUGGAAUACAAAACUUAAUUUGCUUAAAAUUGGCAAAAAUGAAUUUGAUUAUGUAUUAACUCUCCUGGCCAGUUUUUAAACCUGUAGAAAGAGCCACAAGUGUAAAACUUGUACCAUAUGUAUAUUAAAGCAGGACUUGUCUGCUGAAUAAACUAUUUUAGUACAAUGGCUAAAUGUAUAAAUCAUGCCACCGGUUUCUUGGUGUGUCAGACCGAAGAAUAUUUUUCUUAAAUGGAUCAAAAGCACAAAUAUUUGAUGAUGCUACAUGUGUCAGUGUGCUUGCAUGUUUUUAAAAAGGAAUGACUGACUGACUGGUUUUCAUUGUUUGUUUUGUAGGGGAAUAAAAGCUAUAGAAAGUAUUUUCUAUGUAAAGAAAAAGAAAAAUGUAAAAACUGGUUGCUGCAUAUCCUGAAGUGGUCAUAUCAUUUGUUUUUUUAAUGAACAGAAAUGAGCAAUCUGAUUUUAGUAGUAAUUUGUCCUGCUGUUUGCACUUAAGAUCUAUCUGAUUUCACCCCCCCCCAUACCACUGGUAAUGCCUUGUAACCUUGCAAUACUAGCAUUGUGAUGUUGGUUGUUACUGACUGCACUGUGCAACAUGCUUUGAGAACAGCAUCUCAUCUUUAAAGCUACAGUUUUACCAAUGGACGGCCAGAAUGUACUGAUUAUUCUUUGCUUCUGUUACCAAUGGUCCAUUAUUUCCCUCAUACCAGGCUUGGGAAUAGUAAUCAUAUGAAUGUAAAUUUAUGCAUUUUCUUGGUUACCAUUUCCAUAUAGUAACCACAAUUUUGUUGGGGGAAGGAGUGUAAAACCAUUUGGACCUCAUUUCUUUUUUUUUUCCUUGUCUCAGGUAACAUCUGAAAAGGACGGUUCACUCCUGAUUAAAUCUAUAAAUGAAUGUUCUUUUGCCCCAGAAACAUUUGCAGUCUGUUUUAAUUUAGCAGCUCUAUAUAUCCAACAAAAUUAUGUCCUAAUACAACUGGGGCUUGGGAUUCUGUUUAACAGUAAAAAAUUUUGUAUUGAAAUGAUUACUUGGAACAAAUUCCUCAAUAAAUUUGACUUAACCAAUUUGCAACAUGAA